CCUACGGGAGGCAGCAGUAGGGAAUAUUGCUCAAUGGGGGAAACCCUGAAGCAGCAACGCCGCGUGGAGGAUGAAGGUUUUCGGAUUUUAAACUCCUUUUGUUAGAGAAGAUAAUGACGGUAUCUAACGAAUAAGCACCGGCUAACUCCUGGCCAGCAGCCGCGGUAAUACGGGGGGUGCAAGCGUUACUCGGAAUCACUGGGCGUAAAGAGGGCGUAGGCGGGAUAGCAAGUCAGAUGGGAAAUCUUAUGGCUUAACCUUAGAACUGCAUUUGAAACUGUUAUGCUAGAGUAUGGGAGAGGUAGGUGGAAUUCUUGGUGUAGGGGUAAAAUCCGUAGAGAUCAAGAAGAAUACUCAUUGCGAAGGCGACCUGCUAGAACAUAACUGACGCUGAUGCGCGAAAGCGUGGGUAGCAAACAGGAUUAGAUACCCCUGUAGUC
RNAcentral lists this ribosomal RNA (440 nucleotides) under uncultured bacterium. RNAcentral's name for it is "partial 16S ribosomal RNA". It matches the Rfam family "Bacterial small subunit ribosomal RNA", at positions 338 to 795 of the family's 1533-position model. The record is from RNAcentral.